AUUUCUGUAAGAGACUGCUUUCAUUGCUGCUAUAAAACAUGGCUCCUUCAUUGCCAGUGGAUGCAGAGCUCUGCAUGGACUCAAAGAGCGCUGUAGUCUCUCUCCGUUCUAGUCAGCCUUAUAUAAACUAUUCCCAAUCCCUGUAUCUAGCUAUAGGCCUUGCAAACUUGUGUCCAUGUAAAUAACACAUUUUUACCUUCACAGAUUGUUCUCCUAUUUCUUAAGUCCCCUUUAAUUUUUCUAUUUGAUUUAUUGCUGAAUUAGAAAUGAAUCAUACUUAUUUUAGUUCACACACAUUAUUCUCUUAACAGUGUGUGUACACGCUGUUACUCUCACAGGUGCUGUCUUCUUUGAAUUCUUUGCAACCAAGUACACCUCUAUCAUAAAAGGAUUGGUGUCCUCACAAGAGAGGCCAGUGGACUUGUUCACUUCAGCUCCAAGUAAGAACCUAGACAGGAGACAAGUGUCAUGUAUGGAGACAUUUCCAAUAAUUGAAUCUACAAGUUCUUUGACCUGAAGACUCUCUACCCUCCAGAACUACAGAUAUACUCAAAUCGGCUUCAUCAGUACAGGAAUAGGAGUGCACACCAGCAAGCCCAGCACUUGGAAAUAAAGGCAGGAGGGUACCAAAUUUGAAGCCAGCCUGGGCUAUACACCAAGUUCCACACCAGCUUGGGCUACAGAGGCAGAUCCAGUCUCAUCUUUUUUUCCUUCUACACUAGUUACCACAAUGUUGGGUAUGUGUAUUA
This is a long non-coding RNA of Acomys russatus (golden spiny mouse), 749 nucleotides long. RefSeq lists it as uncharacterized. NCBI's taxonomy places the organism in Eukaryota, Metazoa, Chordata, Mammalia, Rodentia, Muridae. The record is from RefSeq and is a predicted model, not a curated record. The transcript has 3 exons.